CAUUUAUCAGUGAUGUGUAUUAAUAAAUGUCUGAACAUAUGACUUGUCAGUGAUUCCUCUGUGAUUCUGAGAUAAAUG
Hyla sarda is the source of this 78-nucleotide small nucleolar RNA. RefSeq annotates it as small nucleolar RNA SNORD72. The transcript has a single exon. Lineage: Eukaryota; Metazoa; Chordata; Amphibia; Anura; Hylidae. The record is from RefSeq and is a predicted model, not a curated record.